GAUGAACGCUGGCGGCGUGCUUAACACAUGCCAGUCGAACGAUGAAGCCCAGCUUGCUGGGUGGAUUAGUGGCGAACGGGUGAGUAACACGUGAGUAACCUGCCCUUGACUCUGGGAUAAGCCUGGGAAACUGGGUCUAAUACUGGAUAUGACUUCUCAUCGCAUGGUGGGGGGUGGAAAGAUUUAUUGGUCUUGGAUGGACUCGCGGCCUAUCAGCUUGUUGGUGAGGUAAUGGCUCACCAAGGCGACGACGGGUAGCCGGCCUGAGAGGGUGACCGGCCACACUGGGACUGAGACACGGCCCAGACUCCUACGGGAGGCAGCAGUGGGGAAUAUUGCACAAUGGGCGCAAGCCUGAUGCAGCGACGCCGCGUGAGGGAUGACGGCCUUCGGGUUGUAAACCUCUUUCAGUAGGGAAGAAGCGAGAGUGACGGUACCUGCAGAAGAAGCGCCGGCUAACUACGUG
Molecule: ribosomal RNA, 466 nt
Filed under: uncultured bacterium
Lineage: Bacteria
Description: partial 16S ribosomal RNA
Rfam family: Bacterial small subunit ribosomal RNA
Source: RNAcentral